This 3672-nucleotide long non-coding RNA is filed under the name Mus musculus (house mouse). RNAcentral's name for it is "long non-coding RNA chr3:88221898-88225570". Lineage: Eukaryota; Metazoa; Chordata; Mammalia; Rodentia; Muridae. The record is from RNAcentral.
GAGAAACCUGGGUCUGCCUGGGAAUCUUCCCUUGAGAAUCCUCCUCUCUAAUGCACAGCCAUGCCAUUCUUGUGUCUGCACCAUCCUCAGUACCCGGCGCCAAAGACCCAUAGGGCAGUGAGACUGGUACGUUCAGUAUUCAGGCAUGUAGAGGGGGCAUCCAUCCCUUCUAGUUAACCCCUCUCUCCUCAAGCACUCACGUCCUUCACUACAGCCAACGCCAUCCUAGGACUCCCCAACUGAAGCAGUGGGCUAUGUUGGGACCCCGGCCUUCUGCUUUUUCCCAGAAAUAGACACCUGCUACCUUUAGCAAACCUCCAGGCUGUGGGAACUGCAAGGAGGAGGGAGCCAUUCCUGACACCCUCCAUCUGUACCCUCGCCAUUACUCAUUAGGCAUUCUGCCCCCUCCUUCCGCUCGUUAAGCCUUAUUUGCAUAUAUUUGCAUAAUACAGUUCAUUUGCAUUGCAGGAGGCUCAUGGUAGAAGCCAGGAAAAAAAAGAGGUGGGGGGGUGGAGAAGAGAAAAAGGGAGAGAUUUUGUUUUCAUCAAAGUGUGGGGGGAGAGCUGGGGGGGAGGCAGGAAGAGGAUGGAAAUAAAACUCAUACUACUUUCUUUCUUCCCUCCGCCCUCUCUCCCCGAGUUGGACUGAAAUGCCAAAGAGAGGUGCCAAGGGUCUGCCUUUUCUGUCCUUUUUUUUGUCUUGCUUCCUCCGGCCUUGGCUCUUCAGUCAGGGGGCCCCCCACCUUGUUGGAAUCAGGCUUCAGAAAGAAAGCUGGGUAGGAUGUGAGGCUGUGAGAAUGGAAACAUAGGAAGGGAAGAGGGAAGCCGCCAUCUUAGGUAGCUAGUGUUUAUAAAAUGGCCGCUUCUGAGAGAUGUGGGCUGAGUGCCAGGCAGGGUGGUGGGCACGAAGGAGAAUGACAACAGAAGGAAGGGUUUCCCAGCUGACCAAGAACAGACCUGAAUAUCACUAUCAGUGGGAUUAGAAAGGGAGGCGGAUGGGGGGGGGUCUCCCAGAAGAGUUCUAGGGUUCAGCAUCUAAGCAGGGUAGUAGAAGCCUCAUCCCUGUGUACAGAUCCCAGAGGACUCAAGGCUAUGGGUGAUGUCGAAGGUGCGGAAGAAUCAAGUUGGAAAGACCAGCAGGAGACAGACAGAGUAAGGUAUGGUCAGGCGGGAUCAUCUGCCAGCUGGAGGUCUCAGGACUGUGGAAAACCAUGUAUUCUAGCAGUAUAUUCUCUGGCCCAGCCGACCAUUACUAUCUUCAUAACGCUUAUGAAACUGUGCCUUCUCUAAGGCCAUUCACAGCUCUCGACUGGGCUAUCCUUCUUUGCCCUCUGUGCAUAAUUUCAUGCUUAUUUGAUCUCCCCAACCUCUGCACUGACCUGGCUUCUUGUGUUAUAUCCUAAACAACUUGUUCUUGGUUUCAUCCACUCAGUUCUCUGGAUCAGCCAGCUUCACACAGAAGUGACAGCACUUCUGAAAUCCCCUCUUAGUCACUUUUGUAACUUCAACCUCUGCUAAAGGUAGACACUCACUCUAUAGACCAGGCCUUGAGCUCAAAGAUCCACCUGCCUCUGCCCCCUGGCCCCCUCCACCUCCCCACGAGUGCUGGGACUAAAGGUGUGAACCACCACCACCACCACCACCACCACCCAGCUCCCUUGUUUUCUUAACAUUGAUCUAUUUAUAACUAGAGUGAGCAAAGCAGUGGUGGUGCACAACUUUAAUCCCACCACUCAGGAGGCAGAGGCAGGUGGAGCUCUGUGAUUUCGAGGCCAGCCUGGUCUACAAUAUGAGUUCCAGGACAGCCAGGGAUACACAGAGAAACCCUGCCUCAAAAAGAAAAUCAAAUAAACCCCCACAGAGUUACACCUUAUCCACUGCCCAAUGUCCUGCCAUUGGUUCCCAGACCAGAGCCUAGAGCCUGAAAUGGUCAUAUGCUCAGGCCCCAUUGCAAAGGACAGUGGGAAGGCACCUGCUUGUCUAACCUCUGGGGUGGCAAAGCUCGGGAGGGACUCCUCCUUAGGCAGCAGAGAUGCUCACUGGUGUGGGCUGUGCACACUCUGGUUUUCUUUCCUCUAAACUUGUGGGCCCCCAGGUUCAAGCUUUUAAUUUUCAGGUUUGCAUAUCUAUAAGUGCCUCCGUGUAUCUAUGUGGACCACAUGUAUGCCUGGUGCCUGUGGAAAUGAGAAGAAAGCAUUGAAUCCCCUCAAAAAGUGUUCUUAACCCCUUAGCCAUCUCUCCAGCCCCAGGUUCAAAUCCUGAGCACCGUCUGAACUAGUCCUGUGUCCAAGACAGUAUCAUCAAACCCUGCCCUUCCCGCCUUGUGCCAGCUCGCGCUUUUUCUUACAUCUGUAUGUUGAUGCUUAGCAGGUUCCUUGAAUGCUUGGUUUAUGUGCCUGGCUGGAGGAGACACCCAUGGCCUUGCAGAGGGAGCGUUCUGGUGGGAAAGCAGACACAACCCACCCUAGGCCCGUGGUUUCCCUGCAAGAAGCCCAGUGGCUUUCUGGAGGACACUUUUCCUGGAGGAAGUGACUCAAGGUAUUCAGGGGGUUGGGUAGGGGAAAUAUCAAGGAAGUAAGAAAGAACAUGGUAUAUGUGGGGACUUGCCUGACCCUCCAAAGAAGUGGAGCCUUAGAUGCUGAAGCAGAGAAACUGGCUUAAUGGCCUGGGGUUUAAGGAAGUCAGCCAUGAGUUAGCUCAGAGAUGCUAGGACGUGGCACCCGGCUGGGUGGUGCUUCGUAAUGUGUAGGAGGCUCACGUGUAUGCAACCUACUGGCUUCUCACAUUAGAAGCAAAAAGGUUUGAAGAAGUUAAGUACUGCAAGGCCAAUUGGUACUAGAAUGGAGACAGAGAGGAAGUUCUACUUAGAAACUUUCUAGAAGAAGAAAGGGGAUAAUGAGAGCAAGGAGAGAGAUCCAGGGCUUAGUCUGAGGGGAUUCUGUGAGAGCAACUGAGGUAGGGAGAAGAGCCGUGUGCGUGCUGGUCCCGAGGCUGCAAUGUAAGCAACAUGCCAAGCUUUACACAAAGGCUUCUCUGUAAGAGGCCUUGGCAGUGGCUGUCAGGUGAGGGGACUUAGCUCUCAGGGCCUUCAGGGCAUUGGGGGUAGGGCUGGAGGUGGCCUCAGACUUCCAGCAGGUCCACAUCAAAAGAAAGACUCUAAGCCUGGCUAGAACUCCCACAGAGGCUAUAUAGAGCUGGUUCCAGGCCAGGCUCCUGCCCACUGCCCAGUCAGGCCGCCAGGUCUAGGCUCAGCCUCUGCCCACCUCCUAUUCUUCCAGCUGUGCCCCCUGCACCUUCUAGCAUCUCCUUUUUCAGCCCACACAUGCCCUCCCAGGUUAUGGGUCUGGUCUCACUGGGCCCGAGCAAGUACCACAGGGAACCUCUUACACUGAGGACUGUAUUGGGAAGGAGAGAAACCACUGACCAGAAGCAAAAAGGUGUCUCGGGAGGAAGGGGGUCACUGUUUCAAGCACUCUGCUCUCCAUCUUCUUCAGCACAAGUUCUUGGUGGCCUCAAUUCACGGUCUCUUCCUGUUGAUCAGCAGUGGGCAGAGACCACCUCCCUCAUUGCCGCUUUGGGUUUGGACCGCUUUAAACAGUAAAGUGACUGUCGACGGCUCAGUCUACAGGGAGGAGAACAAAAGACAGGGUCAGGGCUGGGCAGACUGGACAGG